This 351-nucleotide unclassified non-coding RNA is filed under the name soil metagenome. Its description in RNAcentral is "partial contains 5.8S ribosomal RNA, internal transcribed spacer 2, and large subunit ribosomal RNA". The stretch from base 1 to 120 matches the Rfam family "5.8S ribosomal RNA", at positions 35 to 154 of the family's 154-position model. The record is from RNAcentral.
GAUGAAGAACGCAUCGAAAUGCGAUAAGUAAUGUGAAUUGCAGAAUUCAGUGAAUCAUCGAAUCUUUGAACGCACAUUGCGCCCGCCAGUAUUCUGGCGGGCAUGCCUGUUCGAGCGUCAUUACAACCCUCAGGCCCCCGGGCCUGGCGUUGGGGAUCGGCGGAAGCCCCCUGUGGGCACACGCCGUCCCUCAAAUACAGUGGCGGUCCCGCCGCAGCUUCCAUUGCGUAGUAGCUAACACCUCGCAACUGGAGAGCGGCGCGGCCAUGCCGUAAAACACCCAACUUCUGAAUGUUGACCUCGAAUCAGGUAGGAAUACCCGCUGAACUUAAGCAUAUCAAUAAGCGGAGA